UCUGAACUAUCCAUCAGAUUAUAGAUACUACGUGUGGAUUCGCUAAAAUACAGAGGUAUCAUAGAUCCGAAAGAAAAAGUUUAAUCUAGUGUCAGUAAUGAGAUAUGAUAAUGAAAAUGAUGCUAUUUCAUCUUAAUAUCUUGAGCUGAAAAAAAAAAAACUCAAGAUUAAAAAAAAAACUUGAAUAUCAUGGAAUAGAGGGCAAUAAAGAGACAUCUUUUUCAUAGGGACAGAGUCUCUUUUUCUUUGUAAAAUUUCUUUUCUUUUUACUUACAGUGUAGGGCCCUUUACUUUUUAUUUUUAGUUUAAUAACUUUUUUGAAAGAUUACACAUAUUUCAAUAUGAUUAAUCUUUUACCUUUACGGAAGUAUCAUGAGUUAGAUGGGGCAGACGUUUUGACAUCUGUUUAACGUGUGAAUUAAUUGUGGACUGCCAAAUAAUAAAUGAUGUUUUGCUAGACCGUAGAUUAGUGGCUCAAAUAGAUAUUUAAACGUGGAGCAGCUGAACUGACCAGCUGAUGCGGACACUUUGCCUUCUUGGCAGACUGAUUUCUCAUUGUAACCGAACAUAUUUGCAUCAUUGGAGCUUUGGUGGGGUGUGUCCACCAUGAAACCAGUAUCUCUGGUUUCCACAGCAAGUCGAGUUUUAAGCCUGAGAAGCAGGAAGCCAUCGCCUGGAAAAGAGGCCACUGGACCAACAUGUUUCCAAGGAGCUGCAUCCCAGUUGGCGACCUACGCCCCAGGCUUUGUUUUGGCAAGGGCAUGGCUUCUCCCACAGACCAUAGCUGAAAGUGCUAGUGUGGAUUUAAGGCUGUCCCAGUAGGACCCCAACCAUAGGAGCCCAACGGAGUUUCCUGGGUGACAGUCUGGGAAAGAGAGACAGAGUCUAUUAGAGGGAAAAAGAAAAAGGGAAGUAUGCCUAGCAGACGUACAGAGGGCUUUUCUGAGAUCAUGCAUCCCGUAACAAGAGAACAAUAAUGAUUAAGCAUUAAAAUUAAAACACCGCUGAGGAACCUGGAUAUACACCUAUAAAAUAAUCAUUCAGUACCCCUGUCUCAAUUUACACCCUCUUGGAAGAAAACAAAGGUGAAAAUCUGUGUGCCUUCCUGGUCAGGCCAUGGUUUCUUAGAUACGACACCAAAAGCACAAGCCACGUAAGGAGACUGAUAAACUAAUUUUUUUAUCAGACUAACAAUAGUAAUAAUAAUAAUAAAAUCUUCUGUGCAUCAAAGAACA
This 1235-nucleotide long non-coding RNA is filed under the name Felis catus (domestic cat). Its description in RNAcentral is "lncRNA (ENSFCAG00000052833.1)". Lineage: Eukaryota; Metazoa; Chordata; Mammalia; Carnivora; Felidae. The record is from RNAcentral.